CGGGCCUUCGCUCCAUGCCUGGGCCUCUCGGUGUCUCCCUGGGUCGCGUUCCCGCGUGGUCGCCUCCUCGGAGCCGUCUUUGCCCUGUCGCUUCUGUCCCUGGAAGGCCUAGAAUAGGUAUCUGAGCCAAUACAAGUGGAUGCCUACCACGAAACCUCAUGGAGGUGGUGACUUUUGGAGACGUGGCUGUGCACUUCUCUCGAGAGGAGUGGCAAUGUCUGGACUCUAACCAGAGGGCCCUCUACAGGGAGGUGAUGCUGGAGAACCACAGCAGUGUGGCUGGACUAGCAGGAUUCCUGGUCUUCAAGCCUGAGUUGAUUUCUCGGCUUGAGCAAGGACAAGAGCCCUGGGUUCUUGACGUGCAGGGAGCAGAGAGGACAGAGGCACCGUGGACUUCACAGACAGAUUCUGUCAUUGGGACUGACUACAAGCAAACCUAUGAGGACAUGGACAUUCUCAAAAGGCAGGGCUCUGGCAAUGUAGACACUUUGGAUUCUGACAUCUGGUCAGAGAAUUGUCCAGUUAGCCCUGGGCUGAGAGUGUGGGGCUGCCUCUUCCAGGAGCAACAUUUGAAUAAUGGGACAUUAAAUCUCCAGAACUUUACCAAGCGCACUGUAAAAGAAUGUAAGGAGCUAGGGGCCGCUGUCAUAGGUUGCCAGCCUGAUAAAUAUCAGAGAGACAGUGUGGAAGGGACAUCACAGAACUGUAAUGCAUGUAGCAGAGCAUUCAUAUCAAGUUUAGACCUGGCUUCAUACCAGGAAAUAAAUUUACAGGAGAAACUGAACAGUAGUCAAGAAUGUAAAACAAUAUCUGAGUGCUUGCUGGGGAAAUACCCCAGUAACUGCCAUGGAGAAACGCCCUAUCAGUGUGGGGAGUGUGGGAAAGUCUUCAGGCUGUGUUCACAACUCAAUCAGCAUCAGAGAAUCCACACUGGAGAGAAACCAUUUAAGUGUGUUGAGUGUGGGAAAACCUUCCGUCUGAGUUCAAAACUUAUUCAGCAUCAAAGAAUUCAUACUGGAGAAAAGCCCUAUCGGUGUGAGGAAUGUGGAAAAAGCUUUGGUCAGAGCUCAAGCCUCAUCCAUCAUCAAAGGAUCCACACUGGAGAGAGGCCUUACAGUUGUCAAGACUGUGGGAAAGCCUUCAGCCAGCAAUCACAACUUGUCCGACACCAGAGAACUCACACUGGAGAGAGACCCUACACAUGCCUAGAGUGUGGCAAGGCCUUCAGCCAGAGCUCAACUCUAGCUCAGCACCAGAGGAUCCACAUUGGGGUGAAAUCUCAAGUCCCAAGAGCUUUAGAGAGUCCAAGCCUUAUUGCCCAUCAGAGAAGUCACACUGUGGAAAAGCCUUUUAAGUGUGAGGAGUGUGGGAAAGUAUUCAGGUGGAUCUCUCGUCUGAGUCAGCACCAGCUAAUUCACACUGGAGAAAAACCUUAUAAGUGUAACAAGUGCACAAAAGCCUUUGGUUGUAGCUCACGGCUGAUUCGCCAUCAGAGAACUCAUACCGGAGAAAAACCAUUUAAAUGUGAUGAGUGUGGGAAGGGCUUUGUCCAGGGCUCACACCUUAUUCAGCACCAGAGAAUCCACACAGGAGAGAAGCCAUAUGUGUGCAAAGACUGUGGGAAGGCCUUCAGCCAGAGUUCGAGCCUCAUUUACCACCAGAGAAUCCAUAAGGGAGAGAAACCAUAUGAAUGUCUCCAAUGUGGAAAAGCCUUCAGUAUGAGCACACAACUCACCAUUCACCAGAGGGUUCACACUGGGGAGAGACCCUAUAAGUGUAAUGAGUGUGGGAAAGCCUUCAGUCAAAACUCAACCCUUUUCCAACACCAGAUUAUUCAUGCUGGAGUGAAGCCCUAUGAAUGUAGUGAAUGUGGCAAAGCCUUCAGCAGAAGCUCCUAUCUUAUUGAACACCAGAGGAUACACACCAGAGCCCAGUGGUACCAUGAAUUUGGGAACACCCUUGAAGGUUCCACUUUUGUGAGUAAAAAAGUCUGCACUGUAAAGAAAUUGCACCAGUGUGAUGACUGUGAUAAGAUAUUCAGGUGGCGUUCACAUCUGAUUAUACACCAGAGAAUUCACACGGGAGAGAAGCCUUACAAAUGUACUGCUUGUGGCAAAGCUUUUAAUAGGAGCUCAAGACUUACUCAACACCAGAAGAUUCAUAUGGGAUAAACCAUACACCUAUAGAAGCAUAUAAAUGUGAAUAGACCUGCAGCCUUAACUUAUUUUAUUUGAAAUCAUUUAUACUGACAGGAACUUGAACUUCUGGGAAAGAUUCAAAGUUUUUCUCACAAUACCCUAAAGCCGGCCGUGGUGGCGCACACCUUUAAUCCUAGUACUCGGGAGGCAGAGGUGGGAGGAUCGCCAUGAGUUUGAGGCCACCCUGAAACUACAUAAUGAAUUCCAGUCUGGAAAAGAACCUCCAGCACCCAACAAUUACUCAGCUGUAUUCAAUACUAUGCUUCAAAAUCUUGAUAAACCAAAAGGGAAAAAUGAAGGAGUUAACUGAGAACAAGAAGGAAGUUGAAUCAGAAGACCAAAGAAUUCUCAAGAAACAAAGAGAAUGGUUGGAUGUGCUUGGUGGCAUACUGCCUGUGGUGGUUUGAUUCAGGUGUCCCCCAUAAACUUAGGUGUUCUGAAUGCUAGGUUCCCAGCUGAUGGAGAUUUGGGAAUUAAUGCCUCCUGGAGGGAGUGUAUUGUUGGGGGCGGG
Molecule: RNA transcript, 2709 nt
Organism: Jaculus jaculus (lesser Egyptian jerboa)
Lineage: Eukaryota; Metazoa; Chordata; Mammalia; Rodentia; Dipodidae
Gene: Znf7
Gene name: zinc finger protein 7
Exons: 6
Source: RefSeq, a predicted model, not a curated record